GCCGAUGUAGCUCAGUCAGGUAGAGCAGCGGACGGAUAAUCCGCGGUGUCGGUGGUUCGAUUCCACCCAUCGGUU
Molecule: transfer RNA, 75 nt
Filed under: Ruminococcus sp. YE282
Lineage: Bacteria; Bacillati; Bacillota; Clostridia; Eubacteriales; Oscillospiraceae
Description: tRNA_Ile_GAT
Rfam family: tRNA
About the family: Transfer RNA (tRNA) molecules are approximately 80 nucleotides in length. Their secondary structure includes four short double-helical elements and three loops (D, anti-codon, and T loops). Further hydrogen bonds mediate the characteristic L-shaped molecular structure. tRNAs have two regions of fundamental functional importance: the anti-codon, which is responsible for specific mRNA codon recognition, and the 3' end, to which the tRNAs corresponding amino acid is attached (by aminoacyl-tRNA synthetases). tRNAs cope with the degeneracy of the genetic code in two manners: having more than one tRNA (with a specific anti-codon) for a particular amino acid; and 'wobble' base-pairing, i.e. permitting non-standard base-pairing at the 3rd anti-codon position.
Source: RNAcentral